Molecule: non-coding RNA, 76 nt
Organism: Podarcis lilfordi (Lilford's wall lizard)
Lineage: Eukaryota; Metazoa; Chordata; Lepidosauria; Squamata; Lacertidae
Source: the annotation of a GenBank genome assembly
GGAAAAGGCCAUAGCUCAGUGGUACAGUAUCUGCUUUGCAGACAGAAGGUCCUAGGUUCAGUCCCUGACACUUCCA